GACGAACGCUGGCGGCGUGCCUAAUACAUGCAAGUCGAGCGGUCUGAGCCUUGCGGGCUUGCCCGCGGGGUUUAGAUAGCGGCGAACGGGUGAGUAACACGUGGGCAACCUGCCCCUCAGACUGGGAUAACUCUGGGAAACUGGAGCUAAUACCGGAUAAUCUUCUAUUCCGCAUGGGAUAGGAGUAAAAGGGGAGACCCGCUGGGGGAUGGGCCCGCGGCGCAUUAGCUAGUUGGUGGGGUAACGGCCUACCAAGGCGACGAUGCGUAGCCGACCU
Molecule: ribosomal RNA, 277 nt
Filed under: uncultured bacterium
Lineage: Bacteria
Description: partial 16S ribosomal RNA
Rfam family: Bacterial small subunit ribosomal RNA
Source: RNAcentral